Molecule: long non-coding RNA, 307 nt
Filed under: Ananas comosus (pineapple)
Lineage: Eukaryota; Viridiplantae; Streptophyta; Magnoliopsida; Poales; Bromeliaceae
Description: long non-coding RNA (ACOM_LNC013388)
Source: RNAcentral
UUACUUACCUCCUUUGUUCUCCUACAUAUGGUAGAAAAUUACAAUAUAUCUCUUAUAAAUGGCUUGCCGUGAGAUUAUAAUGAUUUUUAUUGUAUCCAACCAAAUAAAAUAAUAUGUAGCUAUAGCUAUUAUAUUUUUAACUAUUUGCAAUUUUAACCGACCGUUCCUAGAACAAGUGGCAAAGGGUUUGGUGAUUGAUACCCGAGAUCCCAAAUUCGAAUUUUAAUUGAUUCACAUUUCUAGCUAAGUUUAUUUAUUUCUAAAUAAGAGCGGAGAGAAUUAACUCCAACCCUUAUAAUAAUCUAUU